CUACGGGAGGCAGCAGUGGGGAAUCUUGUGCAAUGGGCGAAAGCCUGACACAGCAACGCCGCGUGCGGGAAGAAGGCCUUCGGGUCGUAAACCGCUUUCAGCAGGAACGAAAAUGACGGUACCUGCAGAAGAAGGUGCGGCCAACUACGUGCCAGCAGCCGCGGUGACACGUAGGCACCAAGCGUUGUCCGGAUUUAUUGGGCGUAAAGAGCUCGUAGGCGGUUCAGCAAGUCGGGUGUGAAAACUCUGGGCUUAACCCAGAGCCUGCACCCGAAACUGCUGUGACUAGAGUUCGGUAGGGGAGCGGGGAAUUCCUGGUGUAGCGGUGAAAUGCGCAGAUAUCAGGAGGAACACCGGUGGCGAAGGCGCCGCUCUGGGCCGAAACUGACGCUGAGGAGCGAAAGCGUGGGUAGCAAACAGGAUUAGAUACCCUAGUAGUC
RNAcentral lists this ribosomal RNA (440 nucleotides) under uncultured bacterium. Its description in RNAcentral is "partial 16S ribosomal RNA". It matches the Rfam family "Bacterial small subunit ribosomal RNA", at positions 339 to 795 of the family's 1533-position model. The record is from RNAcentral.